AAUUAUUUGGCUGUUUUCUCCAGGCAGAGCACAUUGCACUCUUCUCUGUACUACCAAGGGUUGGCUGAUCCGUCUGAACCACAGGAGAGGAUGAGCACAUGACUGUGAACGGAUGAGAAAAAAGGUGGCAAAGGAGUGAUUAUGUGUCUUCUCAAGGAUGUUGACAUUUGGAACCUGAUUUCCCCCUUCCACACAUUUCUUCCCCAGGAGCAUGCAUUUCCCAAGCAAUUUCCCAAAAUAUUGCUUAUUAACCAUGGGGCACCUUUGAACAGAACCCAAGAACUUCAUAUCUAAUACCUGUGCUUGCUACAGGAAAUUUUUAAAAAAAGCAAUUCUCCACAAAAGUGAGAAUGGACCACAAACGAAUCACACUUACCAGAGAGACUGAAUAGAUUGAUAGAAUCUGACAUUCAGGCACGCCUCACUGCAGUUAAAUGUUGGCAUCUGAUAGCUUACAGCUGACUAGUUUUCCAAAGAAUUACCUUUGGGCUAAUGGAAACUGCCUCACUAGGGAAGUUACUCCCUCCCAUACAAGCCUGCUGCUGGCUGACUGACUGACAUGUGGUGCAAUAGAGCAGCUUGCCUCAAGAUGGGACCUUUUCUCUGGAGCAAUUUGUGAUCCCUAGUGCCCUGUGGAGUCAGAGUACAGCUAAUAUUCAGUUGAGCCACAUUCCUGCUUAGCAUUUUCCCUGUUCUUUAUUGUUUCCAUCAUCCCCCUUUUUUCAAAGAGCACUUCCUCAAUAAAUCACUUGUAAAAGAAUCCUCUUCUUGAACUCUGCUAGGGAACCCAACAUAAGAUACUUGUUGAUAAAUAGAAUAUCAUGUCUUCAUCAAAA
Molecule: long non-coding RNA, 836 nt
Filed under: Homo sapiens (human)
Lineage: Eukaryota; Metazoa; Chordata; Mammalia; Primates; Hominidae
Description: non-protein coding lnc-CAB39L-8:2
Source: RNAcentral